GGCAAUUCCAGGGUUUCUGUCCACUCCCUAGCUGUUGCCACACGCACAGCCUCUGACCUUCCUCAGCCUCCCACUGGGGCCUAGGGACCGGAGCUGCCCGUGGAGCACCUUUCCACCCUCUCCCACCUGACCUCUGGCCUCCCGGCUCCAGGCUGGCUGACAUAUGCAGGACCCCAGGGGCUGGGGUGAGCCCCUACUGCCUUUGAUGUCAGCCUGUCCCCCUCCAGGAGGCUGCUCUCCCUCUGGCCCUCCCCCACCAUGCCCUUUUCUUCCCACAUUCACUUACCCUGGGUGCCCCAAGCUGUUCAGACAGACAGCGUGACUCCAACACACCAGAAAAGACAAAGGAGUCACACAGAGCCAGAAAAUCCUCCCAGAGCCUCUGCUUCUGACCUCUGGGGCCAACCCAGCCCCACGGGGCUCUGGGUUCUCAGCUGCAGACAGCGGGGCUGUGGUCACACGUGCCCUGCUUGCUAGGGUGCUGACCCUGGGCAGCGAGGCCUCCCUGGUCUCCACCAAUGGUGCAAAUCCCAUAGCAGGGACCAACAGAGCUGGAAUCACCACAUCCAGGGGCCUGGGGGAACUGCAGGAGGCCCCGCCCUCCAUAUCAAGAAGCAAAGGAAGCAGAGGACAGAGAGGAAUUCGUACACCAGCAUAUGAACCUCACCAGAACUCCAGGAGGGACGUUGGCACUAGGACGUUGGCAUCACCCCUGCACCUGGACCCAUCUAGAUGAAGUAAACUUACUGAGGCUCCAGAAGAAGGUCUUCAGGACUCAGACGUCAGUUAUAGAUUAGAAGAAGUUAAUCACUUAUGUCUGUAGACGAAUGUACACUUACAUGUAGACAUAGAGCUUAGAAGGUACAUAAGCUCUGGAAGACUUUGUAAUUUUGAGUUAGUCUGGCGAUAAUUUCCAGGCCUUCUCCCUGUAACCGGUUGCAGAAAUAAACACCCUCUUCCUCCU
RNAcentral lists this long non-coding RNA (964 nucleotides) under Homo sapiens (human). RNAcentral's name for it is "HSALNT0170330". The record is from RNAcentral. Lineage: Eukaryota; Metazoa; Chordata; Mammalia; Primates; Hominidae.